Molecule: long non-coding RNA, 212 nt
Filed under: Elaeis guineensis (African oil palm)
Lineage: Eukaryota; Viridiplantae; Streptophyta; Magnoliopsida; Arecales; Arecaceae
Description: long non-coding RNA (EGUI_LNC079812)
Source: RNAcentral
AAAUAGACCACGAAAGCAUGUUCGAGCUGUCCAAAGGAGUGCAUGCUUUCUGAGCGGAGGUUGGAGUACCAGGCCUCGACGGCCUUGCGAAGUGUGGCGGAGAAGCCGAUGCAGAGAAGGGCAUCGGUUGCCCCUUGGAUCGUCAUGAGAGCCUUGUAACUCUCCAGAUGAUCAACUGGGUCGGUGGAGCCAUCGUAGGGCUCCACAUGAGG